AAACAGCCCCCUAUGUUUUGAUUCUUUGGCAGUUUUGGACCCCAAGGCAAAAAUUAAAAUAAAAAAUUGACACGUGGCACCUCACUUAGGGUGCCACGUCAGCGUUGACCGAGUCAACAAUGGACUGGAGGUCCAAAACUGCCAAAGAAUCAAAACAUAGGGGGCUGUUU
MicroRNA precursor from Medicago truncatula (barrel medic), 170 nucleotides. It matches the Rfam family "MIR2619 microRNA precursor family". NCBI's taxonomy places the organism in Eukaryota, Viridiplantae, Streptophyta, Magnoliopsida, Fabales, Fabaceae. The record is from Rfam.